AACGUAGGGGACAAGCGUUAUCCGGAUUUACUGGGCGUAAAGCGCCCGUAGGCGGCUUUGUAAGUUGGACGUGAAAGCUCCCGGCUUAACUGGGAGAGGCCGUUCAAAACUGUAGAGCUAGAGUGAGGCAGAGGAGUGCGGAAUUCCCGGUGUAGUGGUGGAAUGCGUAGAUAUCGGGAGGAACACCAGUGGCGAAAGCGGCACUCUGGGCCUAAACUGACGCUGAGGGGCGAAAGCGUGGGGAGCGAACGGG
RNAcentral lists this ribosomal RNA (253 nucleotides) under uncultured bacterium. RNAcentral describes it as "partial 16S ribosomal RNA". It matches the Rfam family "Bacterial small subunit ribosomal RNA", at positions 524 to 776 of the family's 1533-position model. The record is from RNAcentral.